CAGCAUCAGAGCUCAAGUGAGGCAAAAUUAAAAAGAAGCAGCCACUGAAAAAACGAGACUGAGAGGAGGUAAUUGCUGAACCAGGACCAAAGGAGGCAGGAGAAUAUCACGCAUGGAUGGAAACAUCACAUCCUGUGAAACAGAAUGGAUUUCUGGCAAAGACGACUGCAGAUAGAACCCAUUGUGGUGAAAACUGGGGACUUUCUGCCCCAGUAUGUUGGACUGUACCCUCCCUGACCUCACCAUUAGCAAUGUUGAAGAUGACUCUCCAGUUAAGUUAUCAAGGUCAUGUAAUACUGGGAAAGAAGAUGACCGUGGAAUGCCUGGAUUCAAGCCCUGGUCUUCUAUUUGCAAGAUGAGUUCUUUGGAUAAAUCACAAUCUACCAGAACUUCAGUUUGCUCUUUUGUAAAUUGGAGGUCGGCCCAAGGAAUCCACUUGCCUGAGGAAAUACUAGGAUCUUUUUAAAAGAGAAACACAAAGAGGGAAAAUGAGCAAUCAGCUUCUACUAUACAAUAUAGAAUUCUGCAGAAGACAAUUUCUAUUGUCUUGAGAGAGAAUUUUUCCAAGUCCUUUUUGCCUCCUCAUCAGAGACCCAACACUUACAGAGAUCACCUGUAGUGUGGAAAUGAUAGAGCCCUGGG
This 642-nucleotide long non-coding RNA is filed under the name Equus caballus (horse). RNAcentral's name for it is "lncRNA (ENSECAG00000055911.1)". The record is from RNAcentral. Lineage: Eukaryota; Metazoa; Chordata; Mammalia; Perissodactyla; Equidae.